Molecule: ribosomal RNA, 460 nt
Filed under: uncultured bacterium
Lineage: Bacteria
Description: partial 16S ribosomal RNA
Rfam family: Bacterial small subunit ribosomal RNA
Source: RNAcentral
CCUACGGGAGGCAGCAGUGAGGAAUAUUGGUCAAUGGGCGCAAGCCUGAACCAGCCAAGUAGCGUGAAGGAUGACUGCCCUAAGGGUUGUAAACUUCUUUUGUAAAGGAAUAAAGUGAGGCACGUGUGCCUUUUUGUGUGUACUUUAUGAAUAAGGAUCGGCUAACUCCGUGCCAGCAGCCGCGGUAAUACGGAGGAUCCGAGCGUUAUCCGGAUUUAUUGGGUUUAAAGGGAGCGUAGAUGGGUUGUUAAGUCAGUUGUGAAAGUUUGGGGCUCAACCGUAAAAUUGCAAUUGAUACUGGCAGUCUUGAGUACAGGUGAGGUAGGCGGAAUUCGUGGUGUAGCGGUGAAAUGCUUAGAUAUUACGAAGAACUCCGAUUGCGAAGGCAGCCUACUAAACUGCCACUGACAUUGAUGCUCGAAAGUGUGGGUAUCAAACAGGAUUAGAUACCCCGGUAGUC